GGCGAGCGUUUGGGGGUCCUCAGAGCCCUCUUCUUUAAGGUCAUCAAGGAUUACCCUUCCAACGAAGACCUUCACGAAAGGCUGGAGGUUUUCAAGGCCCUCACAGACAAUGGGAGACACAUCACCUACUUGGAGGAAGAGCUGGCUGACUUUGUCCUGCAGUGGAUGGAUGUUGGCUUGUCCUCGGAAUUCCUUCUGGUGCUGGUGAACUUGGUCAAAUUCAAUAGCUGUUACCUGGACGAGUACAUCGCAAGGAUGGUUCAGUAAGAAAAGAAUUGAGAUCCUGUUCUGAUAAUGGUCCUAAGUUCAGCUCCGCAGUGAAUAAAUUGAAACCACCAAAAAAAUAGAGGUUGGGCUGGGCACAAUGGCUCACGCCUGUAAUCUCAGCACUUUGGGAGGCCGAGGCAGGCGGAUCACGAGGUCAGGAGUUCGAGACCAGCCUGGCCAACAUGGUGAAACCCUGUCUCUACUAAAAAUACAAAAAUUAGCCGGGCAUGGUGGUGGGAGCCUGUAAUCCCAGCCACUCAGGAGGCUGAGGCAGGAGAAUUGCUUGAAACCGGAAGGCAGAGGUUGCAGUGAGCGGAGAUCGUGCCACUGCACUUCAGCCUGGGUGAAAGAGCAAAACUCCAUCUCAA
This 635-nucleotide small RNA is filed under the name Pan troglodytes (chimpanzee). RNAcentral describes it as "retained intron". Lineage: Eukaryota; Metazoa; Chordata; Mammalia; Primates; Hominidae. The record is from RNAcentral.